Molecule: long non-coding RNA, 432 nt
Filed under: Capsicum annuum
Lineage: Eukaryota; Viridiplantae; Streptophyta; Magnoliopsida; Solanales; Solanaceae
Description: long non-coding RNA (CANN_LNC009021)
Source: RNAcentral
AACCAACGACGUCGUUGGUCAUAUCUGGGCCUAGUUGGUCACGACCGACACCUCUGGGCCUAGUUGGUCACGACCGACAACUCUAGCACAUAGGCCACCACUCUGAGGUGUGGCCCCAUGCGUGGAUCGAUCUGCUUUCAAUGAAAGUGAUACAAACAUGGUUAGCGUGGGAUACAUUAGGAUGGGCUUUUACAUAUGAAUGAUAGCUUGGAGCCCGAAGAAAGCCAUGAAGCAAUAAAGAUCCAAGGCCAAAAAUGCUAAUUGGUUAAUCAAGAAGGGCUCUUGUGGGUUAUUUUUUAAAGUAGCCACUUUUGAACUAUUUCUGUAGUAAGUUAUUUUGGCAAAGGCAAUAACUAUAAAUAAUUGUCUUAGCCAUUUUAUUUUGUAGUUUAUGAUGUCUAUGAUGAAUUGAGAGCUUUUAAGUUUAUAGUU